UGAGAAACCCAUGCGCGGCAACCAAGACCCAACACAGCCAAAAAUAAAUACAUUUUAAAAAAAAUUCACAGAUGCGGCAAUGAAAUGCAUCAUGGGAUCCCGGGCGAGAAAAAGACAACUGGGAAAACAAACACGAAGAGAGCAUCCCUGGACCGGCAGGUCAGCAUCCCCCAGGCGAACGAGGAAUGCCCACCCAGUCCGGCUCCUGCAUCCUCGUGGUGCUGGAUGUUUCCUCCAAACUGUGGGGAGACAGCCAGGACCACCGUGCGGUGGAAAGAGCGAAAUGCAGGUGUGUACACAUUGCUACCUUGUGUGCAAAAACGGGGAGAUGGGAAUAUGUCAUGUUUGUGUUUGAAUAAGAAAAAGUGUGGCCCAAGACGAGCCGAACGAGUUAUCGGUACCACCAGGCUCGGAGGAAGGGGCAACACUUUGCUACAGUCCUUUUAAAGACUUUUGAAAAUUGCACAGGUGUUACCAGUUUAAUACUUAAAGAAAAAACACUUAUCAAAAAGAAAAGAAAUAACAGUAUUGGCCAGGAUGUGGAGAAAAGAGAAACUCUCAGGCGCCGUUGGUGGGAAUGUAAAUUGGUGCAGCCACUGUGGAAAAGAGGAUGGAGGUUCCUCAAAAAAUUAAAAGUUGAGCUGGCAUGUGAUCCGGCAAUUUCACUUCUGGGUAUUUAUCCAAAGAAUGAAAACACUACUUUGAAAAGAUACAUGCACACCAAUGUUCAUAGCAGCACCAUUUACAAUUGGCAGGAUAUGGAAACCACCCAGGUGGCCACCGGAGGGUGUAUGGAUAAAGAUGUGGUACGUGUAUACAACAGAACGUUACUCAGCAAUAAAAAGAAUGGUCUUUUGCCAUUUCAGACAACGUGGAUGGACCCUGAGGGUAUUAUGCUGUGAACAGUCCUGACAGCACCUGCAUGGGCGAAGACGUCCCCCUGGGCCGCUGCUCCACACGCGGGAAUGAGAGCCUUCCCCAGCACCUGGCCAGGUGCUGCCUAGGUGGGAACACUGCCAAGCACAGGAGUAAGUGGACCUGCAAGUUAACGGUGAGGUCCGUGUUUGCUACAAACCUAGAGCACGACAAAGUGGGGCGAAACUUAACUUCUGGGCAGCGCUGUCCGAGGCGGAGUGACUGGGAUGGUGGCAAAAACCUGGCUCUGCCCCCGCCCCCAACUCUGCACAGGCUUCCAGGCAGGAAGGCAGGGCAUGUUGGCAGGAGUGAAGGAACAGGUAGGCGCCACCAGAAAGCUUCUGGAUGUGCUGGGGAUGGGUCGUUUAAACGUAUUUUGCAAU
Kogia breviceps (pygmy sperm whale) is the source of this 1298-nucleotide non-coding RNA. NCBI's taxonomy places the organism in Eukaryota, Metazoa, Chordata, Mammalia, Artiodactyla, Physeteridae. The record is from RefSeq and is a predicted model, not a curated record.